Long non-coding RNA from Arabidopsis thaliana (thale cress), 327 nucleotides. RefSeq annotates it as other RNA. Lineage: Eukaryota; Viridiplantae; Streptophyta; Magnoliopsida; Brassicales; Brassicaceae. The transcript has a single exon. The record is from RefSeq.
GACACAACACACAAACCUUGGGAGAAAUGAAGCAGGAGCCAGGAGGCUUGGUGUAACAGGAAGAUGGAGGUGGAAUUAUCUCUUUUUUCGACUAGACAGAAGAUUUGAGUUCACCCAUGUCUUGUUUUUAAUUUUAUACCUUUCCUCUCAGUGAAUCGUUAUUGGAUAGUUGAUUAAUUCACCAGCCAUUAGCUAAUUUAUUCAACUUUUUUUUUUUAAUCAACCUUUCUUUUAUGUUUUUCUUUUUUACCUAAGGUUAGAUUUUUUUUAGUCUAAUGUAAAAUACCCUUAAAACUUUAUUUUAGAUUUUCUAUAAAAUCCUCCCAU